UGGGGAAUAUUGGACAAUGGGCGAAAGCCUGAUCCAGCCAUGCCGCGUGUGUGAAGAAGGCCUUUUGGUUGUAAAGCACUUUAAGCGAGGAGGAGGCUACUUAGAUUAAUACUCUAGGAUAGUGGACGUUACUCGCAGAAUAAGCACCGGCUAACUCUGUGCCAGCAGCCGCGGUAAUACAGAGGGUGCGAGCGUUAAUCGGAUUUACUGGGCGUAAAGCGUGCGUAGGCGGCUUUUUAAGUCGGAUGUGAAAUCCCUGAGCUUAACUUAGGAAUUGCAUUAGAUACUGGGAAGCUAGAGUAUGGGAGAGGAUGGGAGAAUUCCAGGUGUAGCGGUGAAAUGCGUAGAGAUCUGGAGGAAUACCGAUGGCGAAGGCAGCCAUCUGGCCUAAUACUGACGCUGAGGUACGAAAGCAUGGGGAGCAAACAGG
This 430-nucleotide ribosomal RNA is filed under the name Bacillota bacterium. RNAcentral describes it as "Firmicutes bacterium partial 16S ribosomal RNA". It matches the Rfam family "Bacterial small subunit ribosomal RNA", at positions 355 to 776 of the family's 1533-position model. Lineage: Bacteria; Bacillati; Bacillota. The record is from RNAcentral.